RNAcentral lists this small RNA (102 nucleotides) under Nitrincola nitratireducens. RNAcentral describes it as "Guanidine-I sequence". It matches the Rfam family "Guanidine-I riboswitch aptamer". Rfam says of the family: This family represents a conserved RNA structure found upstream of the ykkC and yxkD genes in Bacillus subtilis and related genes in other bacteria. The function of this family is unclear although it has been suggested that it may function to switch on efflux pumps and detoxification systems in response to harmful environmental molecules. Nelson showed that this riboswitch senses and responds to guanidine and it was renamed Guanidine-I riboswitch. Lineage: Bacteria; Pseudomonadati; Pseudomonadota; Gammaproteobacteria; Oceanospirillales; Oceanospirillaceae. The record is from RNAcentral.
UUAAUAGAGCGCUAGGGUUCCGAUUGCACCUUGCAAUGACUGGUCCGAGAGCACUCAACCUUCACAGUGAAGGUCACACGGCGGGACAAAAGCCCGGGAGAU